Molecule: long non-coding RNA, 798 nt
Organism: Sapajus apella (tufted capuchin)
Lineage: Eukaryota; Metazoa; Chordata; Mammalia; Primates; Cebidae
Exons: 2
Source: RefSeq, a predicted model, not a curated record
UCUGGCUCCCCAAUCAGAGUACACGUCCCAGCCGUGGCCGAGCCUCGCCCAGGAAGACCUGCUGGCUCUCCGCCUUCCCUCAGCGUGGCCCUCCCACCCCUGGGAGCACGAAGGUGCUCAGAGCCAGAAAAUACUCGGAUGCCCACUUCCUGGCACCUGCUCUGGAGCCAGGCUGGGAGGAAUGGGAAAUCCCUGCGGCCUCCCUAACAGGCGCAGAGGGUGAGGGCCCAGACGGUGAGAGAUGGGAGUGUGCGCCGGUGAGGGCCUGAGGCCUUUGGAGGUAUGGAGUUUCCGGGGGCGAGGCUCUGGCUUGGGGUCGGGAAAAAGGGGUAGCUGCGCAGCCACCGGUACCAGGAAGCACACAGUGAGGGCCCCACCGGGACCAUUAAGCACACGGACGCGCAUGCGCUCCGCCCGCCCAGAUGCGCACGCACUUGAGCCGCAGCGCGACGGUUUACAAAGGCUUAGAAGGCCAGAGAACCCGGCCCCGCCACUCCUGGCGCAGCGGCAUCUCCUACCUGAUGCCGCCCGGUCUCGGCUGCGAGUCAGGAAGAGGAUAAAGCCGACUAGCAAAGCUGCCGCUACCAUGUACCACACGGGCGCCACCAUGACGAAGACCUCCAGGCAGAACCACUGCGUCCACACUGAGGCCCGGGAUCUCCUAGGCCCCGCCCCCGUUUCCCAGUCUAGGCCCCGCCCACCACUCGGAGUCCCGCCCAACCGCACAUCACAGAGAGGCUUUAAUGUAAAAUAUUAAAAUGAGUUUGGGGGACGUAAAAAAAACCCCAUAAUGUUAAA